This 419-nucleotide ribosomal RNA is filed under the name uncultured eukaryote. RNAcentral's name for it is "bacterial SSU rRNA". It matches the Rfam family "Eukaryotic small subunit ribosomal RNA", at positions 592 to 1016 of the family's 1831-position model. The record is from RNAcentral.
CAAUAGCGUAUAUUAAAGUUGUUGCGGUUAAAAAGCUCGUAGUUGGAUUUCUGGUACAACGCGCCUGGCCCGCUUUUGUGAGUGCCGGUGCGCGUUUGCCAUCCUUCUAGAAAACGUUUCUACCCGGGUAACUGGGCCGGACUCGCGAUCUAGAUCUUUACUUGAAAAAAUUAGAGUGUUUAAAGCAGGCUUUUGCUGUGAAUACAUUAGCAUGGAAUAAUGAUCUAGGACUUCGGUUCUAUUUUGUUGGUUUCUAGUACUGAAGUAAUGAUUGAUAGGGAUAGUUGGGGGCAUUCGUAUUUAACUGUCAGAGGUGAAAUUCUUGGAUUUGUUAAAGACGGACAAUUGCGAAAGCAUUUGCCAAGGAUGUUUUCAUUGAUCAAGAACGAAAGUUAGGGGAUCGAAGACGAUUAGAUACC